This 207-nucleotide ribosomal RNA is filed under the name uncultured bacterium. RNAcentral describes it as "partial 16S ribosomal RNA". It matches the Rfam family "Bacterial small subunit ribosomal RNA", at positions 568 to 774 of the family's 1533-position model. The record is from RNAcentral.
UGCGUAGGUGGUGGGGUAAGUCGGAUGUGAAAGCUCGGAGCUCAACUCCGAAAUGGCAUUGGAAACUACCCUGCUAGAGGAUUGGAGGGGGGACUGGAAUACUUGGUGUAGCAGUGAAAUGCGUAGAUAUCAAGUGGAACACCAGUGGCGAAGGCGAGUCCCUGGACAAUACCUGACACUGAGGCACGAAAGCUAGGGAGGCAAACA